AACGAACGCUGGCGGCAUGCCUAACACAUGCAAGUCGAACGAAGGCUUCGGCCUUAGUGGCGCACGGGUGCGUAACGCGUGGGAAUCUGCCCUUAGGUUCGGAAUAACAGUUAGAAAUGACUGCUAAUACCGGAUGAUGACGUAAGUCCAAAGAUUUAUCGCCUGAGGAUGAGCCCGCGUAGGAUUAGCUAGUUGGUGUGGUAAAGGCGCACCAAGGCGACGAUCCUUAGCUGGUCUGAGAGGAUGAUCAGCCACACUGGGACUGAGACACGGCCCAGACUCCUACGGGAGGCAGCAGUGGGGAAUAUGGGACAAUGGGCGCAAGCCUGAUCCAGCAAGGCCGCGUGAGUGAUGAAGGCCUUAGGGUUGUAAAGCUCUUUUACCCGUGAUGAUAAUGACAGUAGCGGGAGAAUAAGCCCCGGCUAACUCCGU
RNAcentral lists this ribosomal RNA (432 nucleotides) under uncultured bacterium. RNAcentral's name for it is "partial 16S ribosomal RNA". It matches the Rfam family "Bacterial small subunit ribosomal RNA", at positions 29 to 506 of the family's 1533-position model. The record is from RNAcentral.